Molecule: ribosomal RNA, 301 nt
Filed under: uncultured bacterium
Lineage: Bacteria
Description: partial 16S ribosomal RNA
Rfam family: Bacterial small subunit ribosomal RNA
Source: RNAcentral
CAGUCGCCACGGUAAUACGAAGGGGGCUAGCGUUGCUCAGAAUCACUGGGCGUAAAGGGUGCGUAGGCGGGUCUUUAAGUCAGGGGUGAAAUCCUGGAGCUCAACUCCAGAACUGCCUUUGAUACUGAAGAUCUUGAGUUCGGGAGAGGUGAGUGGAACUGCGAGUGUAGAGGUGAAAUUCGUAGAUAUUCGCAAGAACACCAGUGGCGAAGGCGGCUCACUGGCCCGAUACUGACGCUGAGGCACGAAAGCGUGGGGAGCGAACAGGAUUAGAUACCCCCGUAGUCCCUGUCUCUUAUAC